AAACCCUGACGCAGCAACGCCGCGUGAAGGAUGAAGGCCUUCGGGUUGUAAACUUCUUUGAUUGGGGUCGAAUAAAUGACGGUACCCAAAAAACAAGCCACGGCUAACUACGUGCCAGCAGCCGCGGUAAUACGUAGGUGGCGAGCGUUGUCCGGAUUUACUGGGUGUAAAGGGCGUGUAGGCGGGAUUGUAAGUCAGAUGUGAAAUUCCGAGGCUUAACCUCGGCGCUGCAUCUGGAACUAUGAUUCUUGAGUAUCGGAGAGGAAAGUGGAAUUCCUAGUGUAGCGGUGAAAUGCGUAGAUAUUAGGAGGAACACCAGUGGCGAAGGCGGCUUUCUGGACGAUAACUGACGCUGAGGCGCGAAAGCGUGGGGAGCAAACAGGAUUAGAUACCCUGGUAGUCCACGCCGUAAACGAUGGAUACUAGGUGUAGGGGGUAUCAACUCCCUCUGUGCCGGAGUUAACACAAUAAGUAUCCCACCUGGGGAGUACGGCCGCAAGGUUG
RNAcentral lists this ribosomal RNA (504 nucleotides) under uncultured Bacillota bacterium. Its description in RNAcentral is "bacterial SSU rRNA". It matches the Rfam family "Bacterial small subunit ribosomal RNA", at positions 378 to 896 of the family's 1533-position model. The record is from RNAcentral. Lineage: Bacteria; Bacillati; Bacillota.